RNAcentral lists this ribosomal RNA (253 nucleotides) under uncultured bacterium. RNAcentral's name for it is "partial 16S ribosomal RNA". It matches the Rfam family "Bacterial small subunit ribosomal RNA", at positions 524 to 776 of the family's 1533-position model. The record is from RNAcentral.
UACGAAGGGGGCUAGCGUUGCUCGGAAUCAUUGGGCGUAAAGCGCACGUAGGCGGUUCGUUAUGUCGGAUGUGAAAGCCCUUGGCUUAACCGAGGAAGUGCAUCCGAAACUGGCGAGCUAGAGUACUAAAGAGGAUCGCGGAAUUCCCGGUGUAGAGGUGAAAUUCGUAGAUAUCGGGAGGAACACCGGUGGCGAAGGCGGCGAUCUGGGUAGAUACUGACGCUGAGGUGCGAAAGCGUGGGGAGCAAACAGG